This 84-nucleotide transfer RNA is filed under the name Acidobacteriota bacterium. Its description in RNAcentral is "tRNA-Leu". It matches the Rfam family "tRNA". Rfam says of the family: Transfer RNA (tRNA) molecules are approximately 80 nucleotides in length. Lineage: Bacteria; Pseudomonadati; Acidobacteriota. The record is from RNAcentral.
GCCGAGGUGGUGAAAUUGGUAGACACGCUAGUCUUAGGAACUAGUGCCUCUGGCGUGCGAGUUCGAGUCUCGCCCUCGGCACCA